This 986-nucleotide small RNA is filed under the name Pongo abelii (Sumatran orangutan). Its description in RNAcentral is "processed transcript". The record is from RNAcentral. Lineage: Eukaryota; Metazoa; Chordata; Mammalia; Primates; Hominidae.
ACCUUCUGCCAGAAAGUGGGCCUGCUGUGCACGCUUCAGGAUAAGCUGCAGCCCCAGGACUGGACGUUGUUGGACGAACCGCUGCAGGGCCUGCAGACACUGCUGCUCAUGAUUUUGCGGCAGGCCUCCCAUGGCCUUUUCCUGCGCUACCAUGUGGAGGCCCUAACCCUGCGUCGCAUCAGUAGCUUCCGCCAGUACAAGUAUGACCUGGUGGCAGUGGGCAAGGCUUUGGAGGGCAUGUUCUGCAAGCUCAACCACCUCCUGGAGCACCCGCACCAGCCGUUCUUCCUCUACCUGCUCCCAACCCUGUCCUGCUUCGUCUCCAUCGGCCUCUACAUGCCCGCCACCAGCUUCUUGCUCCUGGUCCUUGGUUUCAAGGCUCUGCAACUGUGGAUGCAGCUGCAUGAGGCUGGAGUGGCCUUGAGGAGUUCAGGGGGGCCCCUGGCCCUAGUGUCCCCCCUCCCCCAGCACAGGGUGGUAAGCACACAGGUCCCAGACAGGGGCUGGAUGGCUCUGAAGCUGGUAGCCCUGAUCUACCUAGUACUGCAGCUGGGCUGCAUCGCCCUCACCAACUUCUGACUGGACUUCCUGCUGGCCGCCACUAUGGUGCUACCGCUGUGCUCGCCGAGCCUUUGGGCCCUGGACCCUCUAUGUUGCCCUGCUGGUGUUGACAAGCCCGGCAGCCAUGCUCCUUGGCAGCCCAUUUCUGUGGUGGGAGCUGCAGGAGGCGCCACUGUCACUGGCCGAGGGCUGGCAGCUCUUCCUGGCAGCGCUGGCCCAGGGUGUGCUGGAGCACCACACCUAAGGCGCCCUGCUCUUCCCACUGCUGUCCCUGGGCCUCUACCCUUGCUGGCUGCUUUUCUGGAAUGUGCUCUUCUGGAAGUGAGAUCUGCCUGUCCAGCACACCAGGCUGGGACAGAGACUCCCCAAGGACCCUAUUCUGCCUCCUUCUGGGGAAAUAAACAAGUGCCUGUUUCAGCUGCUUA